This 253-nucleotide ribosomal RNA is filed under the name uncultured microorganism. RNAcentral describes it as "partial 16S ribosomal RNA". It matches the Rfam family "Bacterial small subunit ribosomal RNA", at positions 524 to 776 of the family's 1533-position model. The record is from RNAcentral.
UACGGAGGGUGCGAGCGUUAAUCGGAAUUACUGGGCGUAAAGCGUGCGCAGGCGGUUUGUUAAGCGAGAUGUGAAAGCCCCGGGCUCAACCUGGGAACCGCAUUUCGAACUGGCAAACUAGAGUCUUGUAGAGGGGGGUAGAAUUCCAGGUGUAGCGGUGAAAUGCGUAGAGAUCUGGAGGAACACCGGUGGCGAAGGCGGCCCCCUGGACAAAGACUGACGCUCAGGCACGAAAGCGUGGGGAGCAAACAGG